This 257-nucleotide ribosomal RNA is filed under the name uncultured bacterium. Its description in RNAcentral is "partial 16S ribosomal RNA". It matches the Rfam family "Bacterial small subunit ribosomal RNA", at positions 99 to 354 of the family's 1533-position model. The record is from RNAcentral.
CGCACGGGUGAGUAACACGUAUGCGACCUGCCUGCCACAGCCGGAUAAUCGGGAGAAAUUCCGUCUAAUACGGCAUAAUGCAUCGACGGGACAUCCUGUUGGUGCCAAAGGUUGAUUCCGGUGGCGGAUGGGCAUGCGUCGCAUUAGUUAGUUGGCGGUGUAACGGACCACCAAGACGACGAUGCGUAGGGGUUCUGAGAGGAAGGUCCCCCACACUGGUACUGAGACACGGACCAGACUCCUACGGGAGGCAGCAG